GACGCCAUUUUGGCCCCAGAGGUGCUUCUGGGAAGUUGAGCGCCGAGCUUCACUUUGCCGGCCUGUGAGGUCCGGCCCUGGCUGCUCGUUGCUGGGCUCUCCGGGGCGAAGCCUCACCUUGGCCCGCCGCCGCCGACUUCUCCGGGGCUCCGGGACCGGGCGGAAGCGCGGCGCCGCCGAGGGAGGUCACCCCGCCAGGAAGGACGCGACGGGGGCGGCGCGUGUCGCGGACACUCCCCGCCGAAGAGCCCGCCUGCCAUGGACUCCGAGUACUACAGCGGGGACCAGUCAGAUGAUGGUGGUGCUACCCCAGUACAGGAUGAGCGGGAUUCAGGAUCAGAUGGUGAGGAUGAUGUAAAUGAGCAGCAGUCUGGAUCCGACACUGGAAGUAUAGACCGGCAUUCAGAGAAUGAAACUAGUGAUCGAGAAGAUGGCUUGAACAAGAGACAUAAUGGAACAGACUCUGAGAAUGAUAAGCCCUCCAAUCUUAAUGCCAGUGACUCGGAAAGUGAGGAACUUCACAGGCCAAAGGACAGUGACUCUGAAUCUGAGGAGCAUGCAGAGUCUCCUGCCAGUGAUUCUGAAAACGAAGAUGUCAACCAGCAUGGGAGCGACUCUGAAAACGAAGAGCUUCUUAAUGGGCAUGCAAGUGACUCCGAAAAGGAAGAGGUUAGAAAACCUGCUGCCAGUGACUCUGAAGCCGAGGACACUCUGCAGCCUCAAGUCAGCGAGUCUGACAGCGAAGACCCCCCAAGACCCCAGGCCAGUGACUCAGAAAAUGAGGAGCCUCCCAAACCUCGGAUCAGUGAUUCAGAAAGUGAGGAGCUCCCCAAACCUCGGAUCAGCGACUCAGAAAGUGAGGAGCUCUCCAAACCCCGAGUCAGCGACUCGGAAAGCGAGGAUCCUCCAAGGCCACAGGCCAGUGACUCAGAAAGUGAGGAUCUCCCCAAACCCCGAGUCAGCGACUCGGAAAGUGAGGAUCCUCCAAGGCCACAGGCCAGUGACUCGGAAAGCGAGGAUCUCCCCAAACCCCGAGUCAGUGACUCGGAGAGCGAGGAGCCUCAGAAAGGACCUGCUAGUGAUUCGGAAGCUGAGGAUGCCUCCAGACACAAAGACAAGCCCGAGUCAGAUGAUAGUGAUGGAGAGAAUAAGAGGGAAGAUUCGGGAAUGCAGAAUGAGUCAGAGGGCCAUACAGACAGAAAAAGACUCCACAGCUCAGACAGUGAGGAGGAAGAACCGAAAAGGCAGAAAAUGGACAGUGAUGAAGAUGAGGAAAAGGAGGGGGACGAGGAGAAAGUAGCAAAGCGGAAGGCUGCCGUGCUCUCUGAUAGUGAAGACGAAGAAAAAGCAUCGGCAAAGAAGAGUCGAGUUGUCUCUGAUGCUGACGACUCUGAUAGUGAUGUUGUAUCAGACAAAUCAAGUAAAAGAGAGAAGACAGUAGCAUCUGACAGUGAAGAGGACGUGGGGAAAGAAGAAUCGUCUGUAAAGAAGAGUGAAGAGAAGGAUCUGUUUGGGAGCGAUAGUGAAUCAGGCAAUGAAGAAGAAAAUCUUAUUGCAGAUAUAUUUGGAGAAUCUGGUGAUGAAGAGGAAGAGGAAUUUACAGGGUUUAACCAAGAAGAUCUGGAGGAAGAGAAGAGUGAAACACAGCUAAAAGAAGCAGAAGAUUCUGAUUCUGAUGAUAACAUAAAGAGAGGAAAGCAUAUGGACUUCCUGUCGGAUUUUGAGAUGAUGUUACAACGGAAAAAGAGCAUGUGUGGCAAACGCAGACGGAAUCGAGAUGGGGGCACUUUUAUUAGUGAUGCAGAUGACGUUGUAAGUGCCAUGAUCGUAAAGAUGAAUGAAGCUGCGGAGGAAGACAGGCAAUUGAAUAAUCAAAAAAAGCCAGCACUGAAAAAAUUAACUUUAUUGCCUACUGUGGUUAUGCACCUUAAAAAACAGGACCUUAAAGAAACAUUUAUUGACAGUGGCGUGAUGUCUGCCAUCAAAGAAUGGCUCUCACCUCUACCAGAUAGGAGUUUGCCUGCACUCAAGAUUCGGGAGGAACUCUUGAAGAUUCUGCAAGAGCUACCUAGUGUGAGCCAGGAGACCCUGAAGCAUAGUGGGAUUGGACGAGCAGUGAUGUAUCUGUAUAAACACCCCAAGGAAUCAAGGUCCAACAAGGAUAUGGCAGGGAAAUUAAUCAACGAGUGGUCUCGGCCUAUAUUUGGUCUCACCUCAAACUAUAAAGGAAUGACAAGAGAAGAAAGGGAGCAGAGGGAUCUAGAGCAAAUGCCUCAGCGACGGAGACUGAGCAGCACUGGUGGUCAGACACCACGAAGAGACUUGGAGAAGGUGCUGACAGGAGAGGAAAAGGCUCUUAGACCUGGAGAUCCUGGCUUCUGUGCCCGUGCUAGAGUUCCAAUGCCAUCAAACAAGGACUAUGUCGUCAGGCCCAAGUGGAAUGUAGAAAUGGAGUCAUCCAGGGACCUUCCCUGGGAGAUGGAAUGUGUCAAUCUCAGAGGAAACUGCUACGCAACACCCAUAAAUCUGGGGCAUUUCAAUACUUGGUCUGCAGUUGGUGGCUGUUUGUGGAAGGUUAAGAAGUGUGACCUUGCUGGAAGUAUAUUACUGGAGGUGGGCUUUGAGGUUUCAAAGGACUCAUGCCAUUUUGAGUUACCACCCUCUGUUUGCUGCUCAUGGUUCAAGAUGCACACUUUCAGCUGCUCCUCAUGCCUGUCACCUGCUGUCCUGACUUUGUCAUCAUGGAUUCCAACCCUCUGAAACCGUAAGCCCAAAAUAAACCACCUACAAGUUGCCUUGGUCAUGGAGUUUUAUCACAAUAGAAAAGUAAUGUAGAAGUUGGUACCAAGAGUGGGGUAUUACUGUGAUAGACUUUGACCAUGUGGUUUGGAGCAAUGUGGAAGCCUUUGGAACUCUGGACUAGAAAAGCCAUUGGAUGCAGUAAGCAGAGCUUAAUGGGCCAUUCUAGUAGGAACUUUAAUGAAAGUAGCGUGAACUAUAGUGGCCUACCUCACAAGUUCUCAGAGGGGAACAAUAUAAGCAACUGAGUUGGAGACCAUUCUUUUAAUAUUUGGCAAAGAAUAUGGUGGCCUUCUGCUCUUUUUGUAAGAACUUUCCUGAGGUUAAAUUUAAAAGUAAUAGACUAAUGUCUUUGACAGAGGAGAUUUCAAAACAGCCUAAUAAACUAACUCUGUUUUGUGGUUAUUAGAAAUUAUUUUUUUGCAGGUCUACAAUGAAGAGCAAAUAGGGCAGAAAGAAAUACAAAAUGUAGAGCUUGGAGAGGAAAAGGAUACUGGCAAAGAUAAUGUUACAGUCAAGGCUUGUGCUAGAAGACAGACUGUAACUGUUAAGGGAGGCCAAAUCUGUGUUGGAAUGGAUGCCCUCUUGCCAAGACCUCACUCAGCUGAACUUCCAACUUGUGAAAGGAAAAGACCUAAGGAAUUAACAAAAUGUCAGUGUCAGCCAUCGAGUUCUGGCUUAGAGUCAUGAAGGACACACAUGUAAAGGAGUUGUAGAAUCUGCCUCCACAGUCAUGGAGAGCCACUGGGGCCAGGCAUGUGGAAGUCAAGUGUGAAUUGCACGGAAGACCACAAGAUGUUAGAGGUGCCAGAGCCAAGGCAUAUCUGCCGAGGAGAGCUUCAUACAAAAAGUGGAACCCACCUGAGAAAGAAAGAUCUGUCUUAGAGGCAGCAAAGCCAAAAGGGGAGGGCCAUUUAAGCCCUUUGACAUCAGACAUGGAGCUACAGGAUUUGGAGGUUUGCCCUGCUGUGUUUUGGCCUUCUUUUGGUGCAGUAUUUCUUCACUAUGCUGUGAUUCCUCAAUUUUGGAAUGAUAAAGAUGUGAGUUCUCAGCUGCUGUUUCUGCCUGCCAUCUGCUACCUGAAAAAUUUCUGUACCCUGAUAUUAAGCCUCUCUGCUGACACCGUAAUCCAAAUCAAACCGAAUUAACAAUUAAAAGUCUGGGUUUAAUGAAUAAAA
Molecule: RNA transcript, 3977 nt
Organism: Peromyscus leucopus (white-footed mouse)
Lineage: Eukaryota; Metazoa; Chordata; Mammalia; Rodentia; Cricetidae
Gene: Iws1
Gene name: interacts with SUPT6H, CTD assembly factor 1
Exons: 15
Source: RefSeq, a predicted model, not a curated record